This 537-nucleotide ribosomal RNA is filed under the name uncultured bacterium. RNAcentral's name for it is "bacterial SSU rRNA". It matches the Rfam family "Bacterial small subunit ribosomal RNA", at positions 771 to 1308 of the family's 1533-position model. The record is from RNAcentral.
AGCCAAUAGAUACCCGGGUAGUCCACGCCCUAAACGAUGUCUACUAGUUGUUGGUGGAGUAAAAUCCAUGAGUAAACGCAGCUAAACGCGUGAAGUAGACCGCCUGGGGAGUACGGUCGCAAGAUUAAAACUCAAAUGAAUUGACGGGGGCCCGCACAAGCGGUGGAUUAUGUGGAUUAAUUCGAUGCAACGCGAAAAACCUUACCUGGCCUUGACAUGUAGCGAACUUUCCAGAGAUGGAUUGGUGCCCGAAAGGGAGCGCUAACACAGGUGCUGCAUGGCUGUCGUCAGCUCGUGUCGUGAGAUGUUGGGUUAAGUCCCGCAACGAGCGCAACCCUUGCCAUUAAUUGCCAUCAUUUAGUUGGGCACUUUAAUGGGACUGCCGGUGACAAACCGGAGGAAGUGGGGAUGACGUCAAGUCCUCAUGGCCCUUAUGGCCAGGGCUUCACACGUAAUACAAUGGUCGGUACAGAGAGUUGCCAACCCGCAGGGGGAGCCAAUCUCAGAAAGCCGAUCGUAGUCCGGAUUGUAGUCUGC